GCUGGGAUAGCUUAGUGGGUAGAGCACAAGACUCUUGAUCUUAGGGUUAUAGGUUUGAGUCCUACGUUGGGCA
Podarcis lilfordi (Lilford's wall lizard) is the source of this 73-nucleotide non-coding RNA. NCBI's taxonomy places the organism in Eukaryota, Metazoa, Chordata, Lepidosauria, Squamata, Lacertidae. The record is from the annotation of a GenBank genome assembly.